UGCAUUCACUACUGUAAGUCGCACUGGAUAAGAGCGUCUGCUAAAUGACUAAAA
Molecule: non-coding RNA, 54 nt
Organism: Salmo salar (Atlantic salmon)
Lineage: Eukaryota; Metazoa; Chordata; Actinopteri; Salmoniformes; Salmonidae
Source: Rfam